RNAcentral lists this ribosomal RNA (497 nucleotides) under uncultured bacterium. RNAcentral describes it as "partial 16S ribosomal RNA". It matches the Rfam family "Bacterial small subunit ribosomal RNA", at positions 28 to 507 of the family's 1533-position model. The record is from RNAcentral.
GAUGAACGCUGGCGGCGUGCCUAAUACAUGCAAGUCGAGCGAACAGACGAGGAGCUUGCUCCUUUGACGUUAGCGGCGGACGGGUGAGUAACACGUGGGUAACCUACCUAUAAGACUGGGAUAACUUCGGGAAACCGGAGCUAAUACCGGAUAAUAUUUCGAACCGCAUGGUUCGAUAGUGAAAGAUGGCUCUGCUAUCACUUAUAGAUGGACCUGCGCCGUAUUAGCUAGUUGGUAAGGUAACGGCUUACCAAGGCAACGAUACGUAGCCGACCUGAGAGGGUGAUCGGCCACACUGGAACUGAGACACGGUCCAGACUCCUACGGGACGCAGCAGUAGGGAAUCUUCCGCAAUGGGCGAAAGCCUGACGGAGCAACGCCGCGUGAGUGAUGAAGGUCUUCGGAUCGUAAAACUCUGUUAUUAGGGAAGAACAAACGUGUAAGUAACUGUGCACGUCUUGACGGUACCUAAUCAGAAAGCCACGGCUAACUACGUG